GACGAACGCUGGCGGCGUGCUUAACACAUGCAAGUCGAACGCUGAAGCUCAGCUUUUGUUGGGUGGAUGAGUGGCGAACGGGUGAGUAACACGUGAGUAACCUGCCUCCUUCUUUGGGAUAACGCCCGGAAACGGGUGCUAUUAUUGGAUAUUAACUGGUCUUCGCAUGGGGGUUGGUGGAAAGGGUUGUUUUGGUGGGGGAUGUGCUCGCGGCCUAUCCGCUUGUUGGGGGGGUGAUGGCCAACCAAGGCUUUGGCGGGUAGCCGGCGGGGGAGGGUGACUGGUACUAAGGGGAGUGAGAUACGGCCCAGACACCGACGGGAGGGAGCAGUGGGGAAUAUUGCACAAUGGGGGCAAGCCUGAUGCAGCGACGCCACGAGAGGGUUGGGGGCCUUCGGGUUGUGAACCACGUACGCUCAUAGUCAAGCGGAAACAAUGGUUGUGGGGAGGGUAGUGGUCAAAGAAGCGCCGGCUAACUACUU
This 482-nucleotide ribosomal RNA is filed under the name uncultured bacterium. Its description in RNAcentral is "partial 16S ribosomal RNA". It matches the Rfam family "Bacterial small subunit ribosomal RNA", at positions 28 to 506 of the family's 1533-position model. The record is from RNAcentral.